GGACUAAAAAUGUUAGAUUCAAGGUGACUUUGUCCCACUUCUUCCCCCUCCAGGUAUCUUCAUCGCUCUUCUCUUGCGCUUUGAUAUCAGCCUGAAGAAGAAAACCCACACAUACUUCUACACCAGUUUUGUGGCCUACAUUUUUGGGCUCAGCGUGACCAUCUUCAUCAUGCACGUCUUCAAACAUGCUCAGCCAGCUCUCUUGUACCUGGUUCCCGCUUGCAUUGGCUUCCCUCUUCUGGUGGCCCUGGCCAAA
Non-coding RNA from Pseudonaja textilis, 256 nucleotides. The record is from RefSeq and is a predicted model, not a curated record. Lineage: Eukaryota; Metazoa; Chordata; Lepidosauria; Squamata; Elapidae.